Molecule: transfer RNA, 53 nt
Filed under: Leptotrombidium akamushi
Lineage: Eukaryota; Metazoa; Arthropoda; Arachnida; Trombidiformes; Trombiculidae
Description: tRNA-Gly
Source: RNAcentral
AGGUGUGACAAGAAUAAUUUCCAAUUAAUCAUUGAUUCACCCAUCCGCACUUA